GGGUGUAGCUCAGUGGUAGAGCUCUUGCUCAGCAUGCAGAAGGCCCUGGGUUCAGUCCCCAGCACUGCA
This 69-nucleotide transfer RNA is filed under the name Marmota monax (woodchuck). RNAcentral's name for it is "tRNA.Ala". It matches the Rfam family "tRNA", at positions 5 to 66 of the family's 71-position model. Rfam says of the family: Transfer RNA (tRNA) molecules are approximately 80 nucleotides in length. Their secondary structure includes four short double-helical elements and three loops (D, anti-codon, and T loops). The record is from RNAcentral. Lineage: Eukaryota; Metazoa; Chordata; Mammalia; Rodentia; Sciuridae.